GGGAAAUCAGAGCGGCGCCAUCCCGGCGAAUACUCCGGCUCCCGGCCAAGUAGGCUGCCCGCGACAAAGGUUGCGAGGUUCGUUAGCAGCACUUGUCAACAAUGGAAAAUUUAUAAGAUUUUUGGAAAUUACUCACUGGGCAGUGCAGUACUGGCCCACCUAUAUCGAGAUCUGAAACUUGCAACGAAACCCAGGCGAGUUAAUAUGGCUGAGUUUCUUACUCUACUGCAGGUAUGGAGUGGGGAACAUUUGCAUGUAGGCCGACCGACACUUCAUGUGCCAUAUCCUCAAACUUUGGACGGAAAGAGUUAGGGUUCAGAUGGAAUGAGCUACAUGUUUGGGAAAUUUCUGCAUCGAUCAUAUGACUUUAUAGGCAUGAGAUUGACGAGUUGCUAGAAAGUCAGGUAACAUGGGAGCCCUACAUUGUAGAGAUAUUGGCACGUGUGGCUGAUAAAUGCAUGACAAGG
Phalaenopsis equestris is the source of this 467-nucleotide long non-coding RNA. RefSeq lists it as uncharacterized. The transcript has 4 exons. The record is from RefSeq and is a predicted model, not a curated record. Lineage: Eukaryota; Viridiplantae; Streptophyta; Magnoliopsida; Asparagales; Orchidaceae.